RNAcentral lists this ribosomal RNA (253 nucleotides) under Subdoligranulum variabile. RNAcentral's name for it is "partial 16S ribosomal RNA". It matches the Rfam family "Bacterial small subunit ribosomal RNA", at positions 524 to 776 of the family's 1533-position model. Lineage: Bacteria; Bacillati; Bacillota; Clostridia; Eubacteriales; Oscillospiraceae. The record is from RNAcentral. RNAcentral also lists the same sequence under 1 other name.
AACGUAGGGUGCAAGCGUUGUCCGGAAUUACUGGGUGUAAAGGGAGCGCAGGCGGAUUGGCAAGUUGGGAGUGAAAUCUAUGGGCUCAACCCAUAAAUUGCUUUCAAAACUGUCAGUCUUGAGUGGUGUAGAGGUAGGCGGAAUUCCCGGUGUAGCGGUGGAAUGCGUAGAUAUCGGGAGGAACACCAGUGGCGAAGGCGGCCUACUGGGCACUAACUGACGCUGAGGCUCGAAAGCAUGGGUAGCAAACAGG